This 405-nucleotide ribosomal RNA is filed under the name uncultured bacterium. RNAcentral's name for it is "partial 16S ribosomal RNA". It matches the Rfam family "Bacterial small subunit ribosomal RNA", at positions 28 to 526 of the family's 1533-position model. The record is from RNAcentral.
GACGAACGCUGGCGGCGUGCUUAACACAUGCAAGUCGAGCGGAGCGGCGAACGGGUGAGUAACGCGUGAGUAACUGCCCCUCUCUCUGGGAUAACAGUUGGAAAAGGCUGCUAAUACCGGAUAGUGGGGGAUGACUCGAGUCCUAUCAGCUUGUUGGUGGGGUAGUGGCCUACCAAGGCGACGACGUGUAGCCGGCAUGAGAGGGAGACCGGGCACAUAGGUCUGAAAUACGGCCCAAACUCCUACGGGAGGCAGCAGUGUGGAAUAUUUAACAAUGGGGGAAACCCUGAUGCAGCAACGCCGCGUGCGGGAUGUCGGCCUUCAGGUUGUAAACCGCUUUCAGCCAUGACGCGGUAUUGGCAGAAGAAGCACCGGCUAACUACGUGCCAGCAGCCGCGGUAAUAC